UCGAACGAUGAACCACCUUCGGGUGGGGAUUAGUGGCGAACGGGUGAGUAACACGUGGGCAAUCUGCCCUGCACUCUGGGACAAGCCCUGGAAACGGGGUCUAAUACCGGAUACUGACCUGCCAAGGCAUCUUGGCGGGUCGAAAGCUCCGGCGGUGCAGGAUGAGCCCGCGGCCUAUCAGCUUGUUGGUGAGGUAAUGGCUCACCAAGGCGACGACGGGUAGCCGGCCUGAGAGGGCGACCGGCCACACUGGGACUGAGACACGGCCCAGACUCCUACGGGAGGCAGCAGUGGGGAAUAUUGCACAAUGGGCGAAAGCCUGAUGCAGCGACGCCGCGUGAGGGAUGACGGCCUUCGGGUUGUAAACCUCUUUCAGCAGGGAAGAAGCGAAAGUGACGGUACCUGCAGAAGAAGCGCCGGCUAACUACGUGCCAGCAGCCGCGGUAAUACGUAGGGCGCAAGCGUUGUCCGGAAUUAUUGGGCGUAAAGAGCUCGUAGGCGGCUUGUCGCGUCGGUUGUGAAAGCCCGGGGCUUAACCCCGGGUCUGCAGUCGAUACGGGCAGGCUAGAGUUCGGUAGGGGAGAUCGGAAUUCCUGGUGUAGCGGUGAAAUGCGCAGAUAUCAGGAGGAACACCGGUGGCGAAGGCGGAUCUCUGGGCCGAUACUGACGCUGAGGAGCGAAAGCGUGGGGAGCGAACAGGAUUAGAUACCCUGGUAGUCCACGCC
RNAcentral lists this ribosomal RNA (725 nucleotides) under Streptomyces coelicoflavus. RNAcentral describes it as "bacterial SSU rRNA". It matches the Rfam family "Bacterial small subunit ribosomal RNA", at positions 62 to 801 of the family's 1533-position model. Lineage: Bacteria; Bacillati; Actinomycetota; Actinomycetes; Kitasatosporales; Streptomycetaceae. The record is from RNAcentral.